CAACCACGUCACCAAUUGAAGAAAUUGCCCUCGAAAUCUCGCGAAUUUCCGAUCUUCAAUCCAGGAUCGACCGCCUGGUUUUCGAGCUCGAACCUCAUUUGGAACCUCUCCAUGGCGACGCAAAAGCCGUUUCUCUCCUUAGAGCUUUAUCUGAAGCCAAAUCCUAUGCUUCAAAGGAUCAGGUUGUUCACAAUAGGCCUUUGUCUUAUCAUGUGCUGAAAAACCAUGUACAAGCCUUAGAGAGAGAGCUCAACUCGGUUCCUCAGUUUCGGAAGCUGUUAGCAGACGUUGAAUCUAGUGGAGAGAAUUCGAGGCAGGUUUGUUGGGCCGGGAAAGUGCUUGAUAGAAGUAAACGGUUAUGUGAUUAUAUUGGAGCCAAUGAGAAAACAAAGAUUGUUAUCAAGCUGCAGUCAACUGAGUCGUGUCUUGUAUAAUUAGUGGAAACGGCAAGAUGCAUCUGAGGGACCACAAAUGGCUGUGAAGAUGGACGCUGAUAGACCAAGGCACUUGAUUCUCAAACAAGUUACAGGUCUACAGUGCACUGUCAAAUUAUAAUGUAAAUUCUUCCUCAUCUGGUUUGUGUGUUAUAUUUUGGUUUUUGGUUGGAUGAGAAUCCCAAGAAGAAUGAUAAGAGAUUUUGACUUGUGAUGCAUUGACAAUAUCA
This is a non-coding RNA of Prunus avium (sweet cherry), 664 nucleotides long. Lineage: Eukaryota; Viridiplantae; Streptophyta; Magnoliopsida; Rosales; Rosaceae. The record is from RefSeq and is a predicted model, not a curated record.